This 21-nucleotide non-coding RNA is filed under the name Arabidopsis thaliana (thale cress). The record is from RNAcentral. Lineage: Eukaryota; Viridiplantae; Streptophyta; Magnoliopsida; Brassicales; Brassicaceae.
CCUUUCUGUGGAGCCGUGUGG